GCGGGGGUAGCUCAGUGGCUAGAGCAUCAGCCUUCCAAGCUGAGGGUCGCGGGUUCAAGCCCCGUUCCCCGCU
Molecule: transfer RNA, 73 nt
Filed under: Deltaproteobacteria bacterium
Lineage: Bacteria; Pseudomonadati; Myxococcota; Myxococcia
Description: tRNA-Gly
Rfam family: tRNA
About the family: Transfer RNA (tRNA) molecules are approximately 80 nucleotides in length. Their secondary structure includes four short double-helical elements and three loops (D, anti-codon, and T loops).
Source: RNAcentral